ACGGUUAAGCCGGGAAAACAACUGAUGGUUUUAGGAGGGAAGAAAACCCUUGGGGAAACGCCCAGAGCCUGCGUAUAUUCCGGCCCGAGCAUCCUGGCGCCCGUUUGUGGGAGGGAGGGGCAGCGGGGAGGGUCUGGGU
This 139-nucleotide long non-coding RNA is filed under the name Prolemur simus (greater bamboo lemur). RNAcentral describes it as "WT1 antisense RNA conserved region 2 (ENSPSMG00000015412.1)". It matches the Rfam family "WT1 antisense RNA conserved region 2". The record is from RNAcentral. Lineage: Eukaryota; Metazoa; Chordata; Mammalia; Primates; Lemuridae.